AUGAAAGAGAAUUUAAAAAUAUAAAGAAAGCGAUUAAUUAUUAUUUGAUUGCAGCACAGUUAUCACAUAAUGACUUUUUGUCUUGGUAUAAUAUUGUUGAUUUGUGUAAACUUGAGAAACAAUAUAAUCUUAUUAUUUAUUGUUUAUAUAAAGUGCUAAAAAUUUAUAAUAGAAAGAGAAAAAAAUACCAAAAAAAAAAAAACGCUAAAAAAGAAGACAAAGGUAAGGAGAUAUAUAAAGAUGAAAACGACAACUGCAACAACUUUGUAAAACAUAUAUACUUUAACUUAGCAUUUACCUACAUAUUAAUGGAAGAUUAUAAAAAUGCAUUAAAAAAACUAUUGUACUUGAAACAUAUCAAUAAGAGUGAAUAUGAUAUUGUGGUUGAUAUAUAUAUAUGUAUAUGCAUAAUGAAUAUAAGAAGACCUGAUGAAUGUUAUACGUUUUUAAAGAAUAUUUAUUUGUGUAUAAUGAAAAAUAAAGAAAACGAAAUUAAUAAAAAUAAUGACCAACUUCGUGUUAGUCAUAUAAAUGACAAUAUGAAUAUUAAAUUACAUGAACAUUGUAACUUAUUUACUUAUUCUGAAAACACAGUUAUAUCUUUAUUCAUGCAAACCCAAAUAUUAAAUAAUAAAUAUGAUGAAUGUAUAUAUGUAUAUAAAACAAUAACAAAAACAAAUUACAAUAUACAUAUAGAUAUAUUUAUACAAUUUAUCAAAUCAAUCAUUAUGAUCAACUAUGAUAUAAAUUAUGACUAUUUAAAAUAUAACUAUUUUUUUAAAACAAUUUUUAAUAACCAUAUUUUUUAUGAAGAUCUUAUUUUUGAUUUAGCUGAAUCAUUUUAUAUGAAAGGGAUAUAUUAUUCUGCUAUCAACUGUUAUCAGUUUUUAUAUGAAAAAAAGGACAAAUGUUUGAUUAUAGUGGGGGAGGAAAAUAGUAGUGAACAAUGUAUUAACAUAGGUCAUAAUACCGUAACUUGUCAUCAUGAUAGUACACCGAAUGAAACUGAUUGUAAGGAUAAUGAUGACUGUAAUAGUGAUAAUACCAAAGAACAAACCACCCCCUCAAGUAAUGCAAUAAAAUUCAACAACAAAAUAGACUUCGCUGUUAUAACAUACAAGUUUGUAAAAUGUUAUUAUUAUAUAGAAGAUUAUAUAAAAGCUGAAGAAUUGAUUUUAAAAUUAUUAAAUAAU
RNAcentral lists this long non-coding RNA (1193 nucleotides) under Piliocolobus tephrosceles (Ugandan red Colobus). RNAcentral's name for it is "lncRNA (ENSPTEG00000018054.1)". Lineage: Eukaryota; Metazoa; Chordata; Mammalia; Primates; Cercopithecidae. The record is from RNAcentral.